UAAUACGUAGGGUGCGAGCGUUGUCCGGAAUUAUUGGGCGUAAAGAGCUCGUAGGCGGUGUGUCGCGUCGGCCGUGAAAACUUGGGGCUUAACUCUGAGCGUGCGGUCGAUACGGGCAUCACUUGAGUUCGGCAGGGGAGACUGGAAUUCCUGGUGUAGCGGUGAAAUGCGCAGAUAUCAGGAGGAACACCGGUGGCGAAGGCGGGUCUCUGGGCCGAUACUGACGCUGAGGAGCGAAAGCGUGGGGAGCGAACAGGAUUAGAUACCCUGGUAGUCCACGCCGUAAACGUUGGGCGCUAGGUGUGGGGACCAUUCCACGGUUUCUGCGCCGCAGCUAACGCAUUAAGCGCCCCGCCUGGGGAGUACGGCCGCAAGGCUAAAACUCAAAGGAAUUGACGG
This 399-nucleotide ribosomal RNA is filed under the name uncultured bacterium. RNAcentral's name for it is "bacterial SSU rRNA". It matches the Rfam family "Bacterial small subunit ribosomal RNA", at positions 521 to 916 of the family's 1533-position model. The record is from RNAcentral.